Molecule: small nuclear RNA, 134 nt
Organism: Phyllostomus discolor (pale spear-nosed bat)
Lineage: Eukaryota; Metazoa; Chordata; Mammalia; Chiroptera; Phyllostomidae
Product: U11 spliceosomal RNA
Exons: 1
Source: RefSeq, a predicted model, not a curated record
AAAAAGGGCUUCUGUCAUGAGAGGCACACGUAGGACAGUUUGAUUGAUCUACGUACGGAAUUGACAUCAACAGAUUUCAAAAGCAUAAUUUUUUGAUACCUGGGCAGCUAGUGAUCGUUGGUUCUCACACCUAC